GCGGUUGUAGCCAAGUGGUUAAGGCAGAGGUUUGUGGUAUCUCCAUUCGUGGGUUCGAGUCCCAUCAGCCGCC
Rivularia sp. PCC 7116 is the source of this 73-nucleotide transfer RNA. It matches the Rfam family "tRNA". Rfam says of the family: Transfer RNA (tRNA) molecules are approximately 80 nucleotides in length. Their secondary structure includes four short double-helical elements and three loops (D, anti-codon, and T loops). Lineage: Bacteria; Bacillati; Cyanobacteriota; Cyanophyceae; Nostocales; Rivulariaceae. The record is from Rfam.